AAAUGAGGACUUGUUUUGGAAGCUCUGCUUCUAAUCAGAACGAAGCUUCAUUUUAGUCUUCUCUGAAUGUAUUAAGUUACCCUCUGAUUUGCUCGUUAAAAGUACCCAAGGGAGAGCAGAAGGGCUCACUGGUUAUAUUCUUGCAACUCUCCCCUUGUUGGCAAGGACCAAGGAUUUCUCCUUCUCUAUAAUGAGGAAUGAAAGGGUUAAGUCAGAGUCCUGAGUUUUGCCCAAGUUUUACUGCAGUCCGUCCAAAUAAUCCCUGAUCAUGUUACAAAUAUUGCACAACUGACCUCUUUCUUAAUCAGCAGUGUCGUAUGUUGAAGGGGCCUUCCCUCAUGAGGAAGCAAGAAGGUGGCAGCGGGUGGAGAGGCAACAUGAUCUCUUUGCAGGAUAUCAUCAUGAGGAACUGUGAUGACUGAAACAUGGAUGGUUCUUCUCCAACACAGUUGUUUUCCAGUCAGAUGAGCUUCUGGCAUACAGUGGAGCAGCAAAAGGAACCUCAGUUUGUGUCAGUAACUGCCAACUGAUGAGAGUGCCUGUAAAUCAUGUCUGAGCAGUUAUGAAUGAAAGAACAGGAUCUCAUGGGUAGUGAUCUGUUUCUCAAUGGUUGCCUCCCUCUCUCUUGCCAAAUAUGCCCCAGAUAUGGUCAAGGAGAUAACAGAUUAGCAGUCUAAAAGCCCCAUUUAUGCAUCCACUUGGUCUUAAAUGAUGAGCUGCAGCUAAAAGGGCACUGAAUAAGCCAUUGCCAACAAGAGACUUGAGCCGUGUCUGCACAAUGAAGCUGUAUUCACUUAAUUAAAGCCGUUUCAAAAUUCAUUUAGGGCCAUUCUUCCUAGUGAAAUUUACCAGCAGAAUUAUACUGAUAUGUGAGUAUAAUUGUGCUGUAAAAUUCACCAUGUAGACUAACACACUAUAUCUGCCUGGGUGAACACUUAUUCUAGAAAGUGGCAGUUGUGGGAGUUAUGCCAAUUUAAAUACAGUCACAUAACUAUACAGGUAGAGUUCUGCCAAUAAAUUUCUCUUGCAAAAUGCA
Long non-coding RNA from Gopherus flavomarginatus (Mexican gopher tortoise), 1036 nucleotides. RefSeq lists it as uncharacterized. Lineage: Eukaryota; Metazoa; Chordata; Testudines; Testudinidae. The transcript is spliced from 2 exons. The record is from RefSeq and is a predicted model, not a curated record.